UGGAGUUUCAUGGCGCCUGUUUAUCAAAAACAUAGUUUUUUGAGAUUAUAAAAAAUUUGGCCUGCUCACUGCUUUAAGUAAAUGGCCGCAGUAUAUUGACUGUGCUAAGGUAGCAUAAUCAUUUGCCUUUUAAAUGGGGGCUGGAAUGAAUGGCUUUACGAGAUGGAUUCUGUCUCCAAGAAAAGAUUUGAAUUUAGUUAUCUAGUAAGAAGACUAUAAUUUUCCUGAGGGACGAUAAGACCCUAUUAAGCUUGAUUUUUGAAUUUUGCUGGGGCGGCAAUUUAAGAUUAAAAUCUUAAUAGGGGAGGUUUUAGUAUUAGGACCCAAUAAUAUUGAGGAAUUGAUAAAGUUACUAUAGGGAUAACAGCUUAAUUUUUUUAAUGAGUACUUAUUUUAAAAAAAGUUUGUGACCUCGAUGUUGAAUUAAAGGAUCUAUUUGGCGAAGUUGCUAAAUGAGAAAGUCUGUUCGACUUUAAAGACUUUACGUGAUCUGAGUUCAGACCGGCCUGGAACC
This 514-nucleotide ribosomal RNA is filed under the name Liphistius schwendingeri. RNAcentral's name for it is "partial large subunit ribosomal RNA". It matches the Rfam family "Bacterial large subunit ribosomal RNA", at positions 1783 to 2627 of the family's 2925-position model. The record is from RNAcentral. Lineage: Eukaryota; Metazoa; Arthropoda; Arachnida; Araneae; Liphistiidae.